Molecule: long non-coding RNA, 1750 nt
Filed under: Homo sapiens (human)
Lineage: Eukaryota; Metazoa; Chordata; Mammalia; Primates; Hominidae
Description: HSALNT0394598
Source: RNAcentral
UCAGAAGUGUCACUGUACAUGUUCCUGCUUUCAAGUGGCCACAUACGGCUCCAUUUUGUUUUUUCUCACCAGGUCUAUACCAACUGAUUUUGCCCAGCCUGACACCCAGACACAAUGGUGAGGGUGUCUUGGACAUGUCACCAUCAGCCAGUCCAAGGGCUGGAAGGAAACAAUGCAUGAUUUAUUGUGUCUGGCGCCCAUGCAGUAAAAAAGUGUACCCUGGACGACAUUGUUACAUGUGCUUUCCCAAAUCCACGGACUUCUGGCUGAUCCGGGGUUGCAAUAUGCACUGCACCACCAUCCUCUCUCUUGGAAAUUCCCUUCGGCUGGGAAAGAAAUGGAUGAUCAAGGUCAGUGGUUUCCAACCAGGCUGAACAUCAGAAUCCACAGGAAUGAUGCUAAGCCCCAUUUCACCUCUGAGACUUUCAGGUUCAAGCGUCUGGAAUGGGGCCACAGAUCUGAAUUUUUAAAGAAGGGUUCUGGUUGACUCUGACAGUUACAUUAAAUGAGUAUAUUUUGGAACCACCAGGCUGAGUGGCCUUAAAAUUUUCUUCAAGAACUAAGGCUCCAGGGCAGGAGGGUACUAGGGAAACUGCCUGGCCACCUGACCCUUCUCUGAUCUCCUCACUCUCUCAGGUGACCCCUUCCUGGACCUAGCAUCCCUCAACUUUUCUGACUUCCCUGGACCAGGCUGGGAACUCACAUUCUCUUCUAGAGAAUAGAAUGCAAUAGAGUUGAUGGGAUGUCACUUUUGAUAUUAGUAUGUAAAAAGGCUGUGCACUCUCUCUUGCCUUCUCACUUGCUUUGAGGGAAGCCCACUGCCAUGUUGCAAGUUGCCCUGUGAAGAGGCCUCCAUGACAAGGAACUGUAGGGUCCCCUGGACAACAGCCAGCAAGGCAAUGAGACCCUUAGUCUCAUCAAUAGUCUACGAGGAACUGAAUCUUGCAAGAACCACAUGGAUGAGGUUGCAAGGUCCAAUUAGAUAAACUCAUCCUCGCUGGCAGAUAAUGGCACCAAUGUGAUCAUCCUCCUAGAGGUAUUUUCAUCUUGGUAUGGAGCCUCCAGAGCUAUCUUUGCUUGAAAGAAUGAAACUUCAGGAAUGAAAGUUUGCACAUAAAGCAAGCCCAUGAGAAAGACAUUUCGGGAAAACUAGAAUCCUGUUAAGUUAUGGGAUUUUUUUCAAGCCACAUGGUUGAUAAGUAGUCUGACCAGGAUCCUGGAGCAACACAAGGAAGACAAGGACCCUUGAAGACAAGGCAGCCUUGAAACCAAAUGAAGCCCUGGGCCAGUGAGCAUGGCAAGAGGAAGACUGUUAAUUGCGAGAAAGCUGGGUCUUGAAGAUGAUUCCAUAUCAACAUACAGGGAGUUCCACCACUGAAUGGUCUAUCGGUUGGGAAUGCCAUCAUUUAUUUUCACCAGUGGGGAAGAAUUGGUAUUAAUAUCAAAACCACAGUACUGUCAUACCCAGCUAUAAUUUGCAAUGUUUAUAUGCCUGUACGAAUGAAUAAUUAACAGUUAAAUGAAUCAAUAUAUAUCUAUCUAUGUGUAGGAAUAUCUAAUCUAUAAUAUAUGCUCGCGUAAGUGGUAAUUAAUCUCUUUUUUGAGACAGGGUCUUUCUCUGUCAUACAGGCUGGAGUGCAAUGACAUGAUUAUGGACCUUCAGGGAUUGAGCAGCUCGACAUCCCAAGGAUCAAGCAAUCCUCCGGCCUCAGCCUACCAAGUAGCUGGGACUACAGCCAUUUGACACCCC